Pistacia vera is the source of this 434-nucleotide long non-coding RNA. RefSeq lists it as uncharacterized. The transcript is spliced from 3 exons. NCBI's taxonomy places the organism in Eukaryota, Viridiplantae, Streptophyta, Magnoliopsida, Sapindales, Anacardiaceae. The record is from RefSeq and is a predicted model, not a curated record.
UUUCAAGCUAAGAGGAUUAUGAAGACGGGAAAUUAUUUUCAGAAAAUCUCAGCUUUCUAGAUGGCAAAUUUAUUAUAUCUGUUCAUGAAUAAAGGAAAUAUCAAUUUUUUAGAUGGCAAAGGAAAUAUGAUAUUCUCAUCCCGGGAACCAUCUGAAUCUCUGUUCAACACAAGGUUUUGAUUAAGUUUCAUUUGAAUACAUUCAUGGGUAAUUUGUCCUCCACAUAUAGUCAAGAGUUCGUCUUCCACAAAGAGAUAAAACAGCGGAGUGUGAGCAGCUUAAGAAGAGAGGAACCACCUGGAAAGUCCUCACCAAGUGCAAGCAAAGUCCUGCGAAGCCUCCUUGGAAAGGUCGCACAGAAUUCAAGGAAGGCAGUGCUGCAAAUUCCAGGCAUUCGCAAAGUAGCUUUCAUUGAGAAGUUUAUCUAUCAAAAU